CUAACAAGGAUUCCCCUAGUAACGGCGAGUGAAGCGGGAAGAGCUCAAAUUUGAAAUCUGGUGGCCUCAGGUCAUCCGAGUUGUAAUCUAUAGAAGUGUUUUCCGUGCUGGCUCAUGUACAAGUCCCUUGGAACAGGGCGUCAUAGAGGGUGAGAAUCCCGUCCUUGACAUGAACUACCAGUGCUCUGUGAUACAUUUUCAACGAGUCGAGUUGUUUGGGAAUGCAGCUCAAAAUGGGUGGUAAAUUCCAUCUAAAGCUAAAUAUUGGCGAGAGACCGAUAGCGAACAAGUACCGUGAGGGAAAGAUGAAAAGCACUUUGGAAAGAGAGUUAAACAGUAUGUGAAAUUGUUGAAAGGGAAACGAUUGAAGUCAGUCGUGCUCUUUGGAUUCAGCCGGUUCUGCCGGUGUACUUCCUUUGAGUGGGGUCAACAUCAGUUUUGAUCGCUGGAUAAAGGCUGGAGGAACGUAGUACCCUCGGGUAAACUUAUAGCCUCCUGUCACAUACAGUGGUUGGGACUGAGGAACGCAGCACGCCUUUAUGGCCGGGAUUCGUCCACGUACGUGCUUAGGAUGUUGACAUAAUGG
Molecule: ribosomal RNA, 586 nt
Filed under: Filobasidium magnum
Lineage: Eukaryota; Fungi; Basidiomycota; Tremellomycetes; Filobasidiales; Filobasidiaceae
Description: LSU rRNA
Rfam family: Eukaryotic large subunit ribosomal RNA
Source: RNAcentral